Medicago truncatula (barrel medic) is the source of this 115-nucleotide microRNA precursor. It matches the Rfam family "MIR2593 microRNA precursor family". Lineage: Eukaryota; Viridiplantae; Streptophyta; Magnoliopsida; Fabales; Fabaceae. The record is from Rfam.
UUAUAAGCAAAAAACUACUUUUUAGAUUCAUUGAAUGAGUGAUGUAUGUGGUCAUCAAUAUAGACCACAUACAUCAUUUAUUCAAUGAACCUAAAAAAUAGUAUUUUGCUUAUAA